RNAcentral lists this long non-coding RNA (2049 nucleotides) under Medicago truncatula (barrel medic). RNAcentral's name for it is "lncRNA gene27777". The record is from RNAcentral. Lineage: Eukaryota; Viridiplantae; Streptophyta; Magnoliopsida; Fabales; Fabaceae.
UAAUAUCACACACAAACAAGACAAGGAAUUUUUAGUCGAUUAAGAUACAAAAGCAGAAACAUACAUAAUUAAAACAACACAUGAAGCUCCUCCUAAACAAGAAUUAUUACAAAGAGAAGAAUGAGACAUAACAUAAGUAAAUUAAACAAACAUUAUGAUUAAUGAUGAAAAAAUUCAUCAAGCAGCUGGAGGGUCAGCAGAAGUCCAGAAAAUAUCUUUCAAAGCAGGACGAAGCUCUUUGCUACAGAACUGAUUAUACUCCAAAGUAUCACCCUUAUCUUUCUUCACCUCCACCACCAGAAACGACGGUGUCACCGCGUAAAUAUCCGCUGCAAUAGCCAACUUUCCUUUCCUCCCUCUUUCUUGCCCUUGAAGUCUCACCUUCGUAUCACUACUCUUCACAUCAAAUUUCACCGCCUUCGCCACUUGUUCCAGUUUCGAUAUCACUCUACUCGGCGUCCCACCCGUUGCAAAUCUCAUCUCCUCCCUCUCUUCUCUCUUCUUCUCUUCAAACAACGGAGACAAAUCAAAUCCUUCUGAUAGUGAAAUUAUAUGAAAAGCAUUCAUUGUCGUCGAUGAUUUCUCACACUCCAUAAAUUCAAACACCUUAUCUUCUUCCUCUUCUUUCUCCUUCUUCCUCAUCGCUAUACUCUUUGGAACCGGUUUCUUAAACCAACUAGAAUCCAUUAUCUUCGAUAUGGAUAUUCUUGUAUUCGGAUUCGGAUCUAGAAGCUUUGUAAUUAACCUCCUAGCUUCCAAAGAAAACCACGGUGGACAUUUGAAAUCACCGCGGUAAAUCUUCUUAUACAUAGCAACCAAAUUAUCAUCCUGAAACGGUAAAAAUCCAGCCAGAAGAACGUAAAGAAUAACACCACAAGACCAAAUAUCAGCCUUAGCACCGUCGUAACCCUUCUUCGCGAUAACCUCCGGCGAAACAUACGCCGGAGUACCACAUGUGGUAUGCAACAAUCCAUCUUGUCUCAAAUGUUCAGAGAAAGUACAGAGACCAAAAUCAGAGACUUUGAGAUUACCGUCUUCGUCGAGGAGGAGAUUCUCCGGCUUGAGAUCACGGUGGUAAACACCGCGACUGUGACAGAAAUCAACGGCUGAGAUCAACUGCUGGAAAUAGACUCUAGCAACGUCUUCUUUGAGUCGACCUUUGACGAUUUUGUUGAAAAGCUCUCCACCGCGAACGAGUUCCAUGGCGAUAUAGAUCUUUGAUUUGGAAGCCAUGACUUCGUGAAGUUGAACUAUGUUAGGGUGUUUGACCAUCUUCAUGACAGAGAUUUCUCUUUUGAUCUGUUCAAUCAUUCCAACUUUAAUCACUUUUUCUUUACCAACUACUUUCAUGGCUACGUUUUUUCCAGUAUUCAAAUUCUUGGCGUGGUAAACCUUAGCAAAUGUUCCGUGACCGAGUACUCGACCAAGCUCGUAUUUUCCAUCGAGCAGAGCCGAGUGAGAGUUAGGGUUUUCCUUUUCACACAUAGUUAGUAUUUACAAAGUAAUAGAAGAAAUAUGAAGGAAGAAGAGAUGAAGAUGGAGAAUAGAUCAACCGUCUUCAACGUGUUUGCGGUGGCAAUGUCUACCGCCAAUGAUUCGUUUUGUAAGAAUGCUUACAACUUCAGAUGGAGAGAACCGAUAGCAAUGGCCUCUCAUCUCUCUGCAUUCCUUCGCUGUAGACAGACAGAUACAGAGAAUUAUGAAAACGAUGAAGAAUGAUUUAAUUGGUUAAGAAAGGGUUGAAGAAUUGUGUUUGGUUUCGACAAUAAUUCUAUAUUAUUACUGACUUAUAUUAGGUUUGGUUUUAUAAUACGGCGGUGCUGGUUGGUCUCUGCUUUCGUUUUCAUUGUCUCAAUUGAUUGGUGAUCUGACGGUUCUCUCUCAAAGACAGAUUAGGUGAUGGUGGACACGUGUAUGGACCAUUGUUCUUGUCUUUUCUUCUCACCGCUUCAACCGUUUUUUUUUUUUUUUUAUGCGACGAUGAAAUUAAACCGAAUCAGUCUUUUUCUUUUGGUUUGUUUGUUUGUUUGUUUUCAUUUUUAUUUAAUU